GUCCUGCUUAAUUCCCGUCCUGCUUCCGACUUAUAAUGUCUUCAGAAUAAUAUUUUACUGAUACGAAGAUAUUCUGAGAAAACUUCGCGAUGAAGAAACGUCAAUCUUCAAAAACGUCGAGCUUCUAAACCGUCGUGCUUCAAAAAUGUGAUUCUUCCAAAACUGCCGUCUGAUCAAUCUAACACUUUUCUAACCAUGGUCCAGCAGCUUAUGGUUCACCCAAGAUCAAUUCUUCGACCAUCCAUUGCCCGCGGUAAAACCACUAAAUAAUAGUAUAUUUUUUUUUUUUUUUUAAGGGUUUCUACAUUCUCUCCCCCCCCGUUAACAGAAUUCGUCCUCGAAUUCUAAGGCUCUGAGGGGCCUCCUUCUUCCAUUACUACGUCCUCUCGGAAUAACUCCGGGUGAUCGGUUUUAAAUCUCGCUUCAUCCUCCCAAGUAACAUGAAUCCUGUUUUGUCUUCCCCAGAACACUUGUACUUGAGCAAUCUCACGAUUUUUGAGCUUCCGAAUACGCCGUUCUCCUAAUCUGAUUGGUCCUUCCGGAUACGUAAGGUUUGUCUCCAACUCCUCGAUUCUCUCGGGCUCAACAGUACUUGGAUCCCGUAUGUGUUUCCGAAGCAUGGAAACAUGGAAUACUGGAUGUAGAUGCAUAUCUGCUGGCAGAUCCAAUCGGUAAGCUACCUCACCAACUUUCCCGAUGAUCUUAUACGGACCAAUGAACCUGACCGCAAGUUUCCCGACCUUGCCAAAUCUGUCCUUCCCUUUCUGUGCA
This 771-nucleotide long non-coding RNA is filed under the name Brassica rapa (field mustard). RNAcentral describes it as "long non-coding RNA (BRAP_LNC008776)". Lineage: Eukaryota; Viridiplantae; Streptophyta; Magnoliopsida; Brassicales; Brassicaceae. The record is from RNAcentral.